AGAAUCAACGCUGGCGGCGUGCCUAACACAUGCAAGUCGAACGAGAAAGUGGAGCAAUCCAUGAGUAAAGUGGCGACCGGGUGAGUAACACGUGACGUAACCUACCUUCAAGUGGGGGAUAACCUCGGGAAACCGGGCUAAUACCGCAUAACAUCUUUGGAGUGGAAAUUCUGGAGAUCAAAGGAGCAAUUCGCUGGAAGAGGGGGUCGCGGCUGAUUAGCUAGUUGGCGGGUAAUGGCCCACCAAGGCUUUGAUCGGUA
Molecule: ribosomal RNA, 260 nt
Filed under: uncultured bacterium
Lineage: Bacteria
Description: partial small subunit ribosomal RNA
Rfam family: Bacterial small subunit ribosomal RNA
Source: RNAcentral